AUCCCAGCAAGGUGUAUGGCAUACAUAUUCUUACUAGUUUUAUAAGAACAUUCUAUUCGU
This 60-nucleotide transfer RNA is filed under the name Pritchardia waialealeana. RNAcentral describes it as "partial tRNA-Asp". Lineage: Eukaryota; Viridiplantae; Streptophyta; Magnoliopsida; Arecales; Arecaceae. The record is from RNAcentral.